GAUGAAGAACGUAGCGAAAUGCGAUAAGUAAUGUGAAUUGCAGAAUUCAGUGAAUCAUCGAAUCUUUGAACGCACAUUGCGCCCCCUGGUAUUCCGGGGGGCAUGCCUGUUCGAGCGUCAUUUCACCACUCAAGCCUCGCUUGGUAUUGGGCGACGCGGUCCGCCGCGCGCCUCAAAUCGACCGGCUGGGUCUUCUGUCCCCUCAGCGUUGUGGAAACUAUUCGCUAAAGGGUGCCACGGGAGGCCACGCCGAAAAACAAACCCAUUUCUAAGGUUGACCUCGGAUCAGGUAGGGAUACCCGCUGAACUUAAGCAUAUCAAAAGCGGAGGA
Molecule: unclassified non-coding RNA, 331 nt
Filed under: soil metagenome
Description: partial contains 5.8S ribosomal RNA, internal transcribed spacer 2, and large subunit ribosomal RNA
Rfam family: 5.8S ribosomal RNA (bases 1-120)
Source: RNAcentral